GGUUACUGAAUCCAGAUAAACUCCGAAUUCCAUAUAUCUAUACGCGGGAGUCAGACUGCGAGUGAUAAGAUCCGUAGUCGAAAGGGAAACAGCCCAGAUCACCAGUUAAGGUCCCCAAAUCUAUGCUAAGUGGAAAAGGAUGUGGAGUUGCGUAGACAACUAGGACGUUGGCUUAGAAGCAGCCAUCAUUCAAAGAGUGCGUAAUAGCUCACUAGUCGAGUGGCGCUGCGCCGAAAAUUUACCGGGGCUAAGCAUAGUACCGAAACUGUGGAUGUGCGUAAGCACGUGGUAGGAGAGCGUUCUAAUUGCGGCGAAGCCUAAUCGAGAGGAUAGGUGGAGCGAUUAGAAGUGAGAAUGCCGGUAUGAGUAGCGAAAGAUAGGUGAGAAUCCUAUCCGCCGAAAGACUAAGGUUUCCUGGGGCAGGCUCGUCCGCCCAGGGUAAGUCGGGACCUAAGGUAAGGCCGAGAGGCGUAGCCGAUGGACAACAGGUUGAGAUUCCUGUACUAAUAUUAAUCGUUAAGAGCAAUGGAGGGACGCAGUAGGCUAAUGGCGCAUGUAACUGGAAUCAUGUGUAAGCGUCAAGGC
Molecule: ribosomal RNA, 585 nt
Filed under: Kryptoperidinium foliaceum
Lineage: Eukaryota; Dinophyceae; Peridiniales; Kryptoperidiniaceae
Description: partial Bacterial large subunit ribosomal RNA
Rfam family: Bacterial large subunit ribosomal RNA
Source: RNAcentral